Molecule: ribosomal RNA, 119 nt
Organism: Pteropus vampyrus (large flying fox)
Lineage: Eukaryota; Metazoa; Chordata; Mammalia; Chiroptera; Pteropodidae
Source: Ensembl
GUCUAUGCCCAUGCUACCCUGAACAAGUCUAAUUCUGUCUGAUCUUGGAAGCUAAGCACGGUGGAGCCUGGUUAGUACUUGGAUGGGAGAACACCUAGGAAGACCAGGAGCUGUAGGCA